Molecule: ribosomal RNA, 434 nt
Filed under: uncultured Clostridium sp.
Lineage: Bacteria; Bacillati; Bacillota; Clostridia; Eubacteriales; Clostridiaceae
Also listed under: 1 other name
Description: partial 16S ribosomal RNA
Rfam family: Bacterial small subunit ribosomal RNA
Source: RNAcentral
ACGGGAGGCAGCAGUGGGGAAUAUUGCACAAUGGGGGAAACCCUGAUGCAGCGACGCCGCGUGAGUGAAGAAGUAUUUCGGUAUGUAAAGCUCUAUCAGCAGGGAAGAAAAUGACGGUACCUGACUAAGAAGCCCCGGCUAACUACGUGCCAGCAGCCGCGGUAAUACGUAGGGGGCAAGCGUUAUCCGGAUUUACUGGGUGUAAAGGGAGCGUAGGCGGCACGGCAAGCCAGAAGUGAAAACCCAGGGCUCAACUCUGGGAUUGCUUUUGGAACUGUCGAGCUAGAUUGCAGGAGAGGUAAGUGGAAUUCCUAGUGUAGCGGUGAAAUGCGUAGAUAUUAGGAGGAACACCAGUGGCGAAGGCGGCUUACUGGACUGUAAAUGACGCUGAGGCUCGAAAGCGUGGGGAGCAAACAGGAUUAGAUACCCUGGUA